This is a non-coding RNA of Xyrichtys novacula (pearly razorfish), 999 nucleotides long. NCBI's taxonomy places the organism in Eukaryota, Metazoa, Chordata, Actinopteri, Labriformes, Labridae. The record is from the annotation of a GenBank genome assembly.
GUCUAUCAAUAGCAGCUCAGACAAGCCUUGAAUGCAAACACCCCUAUCAGCCAUGCCCCUGCAGCAGUUGGUUUAGCAGCGAGUGUGUGUUUGGAAUCUUAACAGUGAGGAUCCAGACGCAUUAUUGAAUGCCACUGAAGGGGUCAGAGAGAAAGGUGCACUGGGUAGGAGUGAUACAGAUGCACUGAGCGCACUAGCAGCACCAUCAUCAUGCAGAAAUUGCAAUCAGGGUCAUUCGGCAUCACUCUCCAGGGAAAUUUGCAUCCAUCUAGUUAAUCCGUACCUGUUUCCUGGCCUCUUGAUCAUCACAGUAACAAGUCGAUGAAGUGUUGCAUCCUGUGCCGAGUGCUGUUAGAACUGUUGCAUCGACAUUUAAAGAAAAAGAGACAUGAGGAUUUGUCUGCUCCAUACAAUACAGUAAAUUAAGGAAUUAGAGCAGGCAGACAGUAAUAUCUGUAUGAGAUAACUUAAGAAAUGUUGAUUCAAGUUUAGCCCACAUUCACAACCCGCUGGAUUAGCUUCCCGGCUGAGGAAAGCACAAGAAUUGAAAUGCAAAUAAGACGAGGAUUACUGAGAGAGCAUUCAGUCUAGCAGAGCCUCCUCCAUUAGCGGGUGAAGCACUGGCCACAUCUGAAAAAAGCAUCUAAGCCUAAUGAUCAUUCACAAGUUACUCAUUUUUGUUUAGAGGAGUUAAUAACGCUUGUCAACUGAAAUAAAGAUACAAAUAAGAGAUUGUUUCACACCUUACUGGGUCUGAACACAAUAUAACAACAGCAUAAUGAUCCAAUCUAAACCCCUAAUCCCCCUCCCUGUUACUCCACACGCUGCUGCAGUGUAGCAGGUAGUCCCUCUCCCCCGGAUCAUGUUUGCUUUUGUUAGUGUACACCAGAAAAUAUAAUAAGGCAAAUGUAACAAUGGCGAGAUGGGUAACUUUUUCUCCACACGGAAACAGGAUUUAUUUGCAAGUCAAGGAGUUGCAUCUGAAUCCAAAGAAAAUGG